RNAcentral lists this ribosomal RNA (253 nucleotides) under uncultured bacterium. RNAcentral's name for it is "partial 16S ribosomal RNA". It matches the Rfam family "Bacterial small subunit ribosomal RNA", at positions 524 to 776 of the family's 1533-position model. The record is from RNAcentral.
UACGGAGGGUGCAAGCGUUAUCCGGAUUUACUGGGUUUAAAGGGUGCGUAGGCGGGUUAUUAAGUCAGUGGUGAAAGCCUUCAGCUCAACUGAAGAAUUGCCAUUGAUACUGAUGAUCUUGAGUAUGAUUGAGGUGGGCGGAAUGUGUCAUGUAGCGGUGAAAUGCUUAGAUAUGACACAGAACACCGAUUGCGAAGGCAGCUCACUAAGUCAUAACUGACGCUGAUGCACGAAAGCGUGGGGAGCAAACAGG